This 429-nucleotide ribosomal RNA is filed under the name Actinomycetes bacterium. RNAcentral describes it as "Actinobacteria bacterium partial 16S ribosomal RNA". It matches the Rfam family "Bacterial small subunit ribosomal RNA", at positions 355 to 776 of the family's 1533-position model. Lineage: Bacteria; Bacillati; Actinomycetota; Actinomycetes. The record is from RNAcentral.
UAGGGAAUCUUCCGCAAUGGGCGAAAGCCUGACGGAGCAACGCCGCGUGAGUGAUGAAGGUCUUCGGAUCGUAAAACUCUGUUAUUAGGGAAGAACAAAUGUGUAAGUAACUAUGCACGUCUUGACGGUACCUAAUCAGAAAGCCACGGCUAACUACGUGCCAGCAGCCGCGGUAAUACGUAGGUGGCAAGCGUUAUCCGGAAUUAUUGGGCGUAAAGCGCGCGUAGGCGGUUUUUUAAGUCUGAUGUGAAAGCCCACGGCUCAACCGUGGAGGGUCAUUGGAAACUGGAAAACUUGAGUGCAGAAGAGGAAAGUGGAAUUCCAUGUGUAGCGGUGAAAUGCGCAGAGAUAUGGAGGUACACCAGUGGCGAAGGCGACUUUCUGGUCUGUAACUGACGCUGAUGUGCGAAAGCGUGGGGAUCAAACAGG